RNAcentral lists this signal recognition particle RNA (249 nucleotides) under Brassica rapa (field mustard). RNAcentral describes it as "SRP RNA RNase_MRP". It matches the Rfam family "RNase MRP". Rfam says of the family: RNase MRP is an enzymatically active ribonucleoprotein with two distinct roles in eukaryotes. In mitochondria it plays a direct role in the initiation of mitochondrial DNA replication. Lineage: Eukaryota; Viridiplantae; Streptophyta; Magnoliopsida; Brassicales; Brassicaceae. The record is from RNAcentral.
AUGUCAUUGGAUACGAAGUGAAUGGGUCAAUAGGCUUGUCUACAGCUCCGACCCAGGAAAGUCCCAGGGACACUACACCGCAGAGAUGCGGCCUCGGUAACGAGAGAAUCUUGCGGUUGGAGAGACGCAGUCGGCUGAGACGUGGAGCGAGCUUAUGUGGUCUCUCCGAAUGAUACCAUGGCCGUUGGUAACACAACAGUUAUUCACUUAGAGUCCCUUAACAGAACGGGGCUUACGUUUCCAAUGGCA